UAGCCUAGUGGUUAAGGCUAUGGAUUGCCAAUCCGGAGACGGCGGGUUCAAUUCCCGU
Non-coding RNA from Aedes albopictus (Asian tiger mosquito), 58 nucleotides. NCBI's taxonomy places the organism in Eukaryota, Metazoa, Arthropoda, Insecta, Diptera, Culicidae. The record is from Rfam.